CCUACGGGAGGCAGCAGUGGGGGAUAUUGCACAAUGGGCGGAAGCCUGAUGCAGCAACGCCGCGUGGGGGAAGGAGGGUUUCGGCUCGUAAACUUCUAUCAGCAGGGAAGAAAAUGACGGUACCUGACUAAGAAGCCCCGGCUAACUACGUGCCAGCAGCCGCGGUAAUACGUAGGGGGCAAGCGUUAUCCGGAUUUACUGGGUGUAAAGGGGGCGUAGGCGGUUUAGCAAGUCAGAAGUGAAAGCCCGGGGCUCAACUCCGGGACUGCUUUUGAAACUGUUGAACUAGAUUGCAGGAGAGGUAAGUGGAAUUCCUAGUGUAGCGGUGAAAUGCGUAGAUAUUAGGAGGAACACCAGUGGCGAAGGCGGCUUACUGGACUGUAAAUGACGCUGAGGCUCGAAAGCGUGGGGAGCAAACAGGAUUAGAUACCCGGGUAGUC
This 440-nucleotide ribosomal RNA is filed under the name uncultured bacterium. RNAcentral describes it as "partial 16S ribosomal RNA". It matches the Rfam family "Bacterial small subunit ribosomal RNA", at positions 338 to 795 of the family's 1533-position model. The record is from RNAcentral.